AGCGAAUCCAACUUGUCCGCACUUAUGUCUCAGCCUACUUUGAGCCCACCUGGAACUUGCUCUAGUUGGCUAGCUGCAGGUCCUCCAUUUUUAUCAGACUCAUUUACGUAUUGUGAUGAAGUGAUUCCAGCCAUUUGAUUUCUUGUGUUAUGGUUGCAUAAAAAGGAAAGCACAUUGUUUGCUUUUGUGGUCUUGCACUUGUUCCUCAAAAUUCGAUUGUGGAAGAUAACCUCCAAGAUGAAUUGGUCGGCCCAGCACCAUGCGAGAUCCAGAUUUCUAGCACAAGCCUUGAAAGGCCAAUGGCUCUCGGCCUAAUCCGUCAUUAGCCUAGAACAAAAUU
This 340-nucleotide unclassified non-coding RNA is filed under the name Hevea brasiliensis (rubber tree). The record is from RNAcentral. Lineage: Eukaryota; Viridiplantae; Streptophyta; Magnoliopsida; Malpighiales; Euphorbiaceae.